UGGGAACCUUCCCUAUGGUUCGGAAUAGCUCAGGGAAACUUGGGGUAAUACCGGAUAAGCCCUUCGGGGGAAAGAUUUAUCGCCAUUGGAUGGGCCCGCGUCGGAUUAGCUAGUUGGUGAGGUAACGGCUCACCAAGGCAACGAUCCGUAGCUGGUCUGAGAGGAUGAUCAGCCACACUGGGACUGAGACACGGCCCAGACUCCUACGGGAGCAG
RNAcentral lists this ribosomal RNA (215 nucleotides) under uncultured bacterium. Its description in RNAcentral is "partial 16S ribosomal RNA". It matches the Rfam family "Bacterial small subunit ribosomal RNA", at positions 118 to 347 of the family's 1533-position model. The record is from RNAcentral.